CUACGUGCCAGCAGCCGCGGUAAUACGGAAGGUCCGGGCGUUAUCCGGAUUUAUUGUGUUUAAAGGGAGCGUAGGCCGGAGAUUAAGUGUGUUGUGAAAUGUAGACGCUCAACGUCUGACUUGCAGCGCAUACUGGUUUCCUUGAGUACGCACAACGUUGGCGGAAUUCGUCGUGUAGCGGUGAAAUGCUUAGAUAUGACGAAGAACUCCGAUUGCGAAGGCAGCUGACGGGAGCGCAACUGACGCUUAAGCUCGAAGGUGCGGGUAUCGAACAGGAUUAGAUACCCUGGUAGUCCGCACAGUAAACGAUGGAUGCCCGCUGUUGGUACCUGGUAUCAGCGGCUAAGCGAAAGCAUUAAGCAUCCCACCUGGGGAGUACGCCGGCAACGGUGAAACUCAAAGGAAUUGACGGGGGCCCGCACAAGCGGAGGAACAUGUGGUUUAAUUCGAUGAUACGCGAGGAACCUUACCCGGGCUUGAAUUGCAGAGGAAGGAUUUAGAGAUA
Molecule: ribosomal RNA, 505 nt
Filed under: uncultured bacterium
Lineage: Bacteria
Description: bacterial SSU rRNA
Rfam family: Bacterial small subunit ribosomal RNA
Source: RNAcentral